UACGUAGGGUGCAAGCGUUGUUCGGAAUUAUUGGGCGUAAAGGGAGUGUAGGCGGUUUGUUAAGUCUUCUGUGAAAUCUACGGGCUUAUCCUGUAACGUGCAGAGGAAACUGGCGAGCUUGAGUGUCGGAGAGGAUAGGGGAAUUCCCGGUGUAGAGGUGAAAUUCGUAGAGAUCGGGAGGAACACCAGUGGCGAAGGCGCCUAUCUGGCUGACAACUGACGCUGAGACUCGAAAGCAUGGGGAGCAAACAGG
Molecule: ribosomal RNA, 253 nt
Filed under: uncultured bacterium
Lineage: Bacteria
Description: partial 16S ribosomal RNA
Rfam family: Bacterial small subunit ribosomal RNA
Source: RNAcentral